RNAcentral lists this unclassified non-coding RNA (146 nucleotides) under soil metagenome. Its description in RNAcentral is "partial internal transcribed spacer 1". The record is from RNAcentral.
UAAUAAGUGUUUUAUGGCACUUUUUAAAUCCAUAUCCACCUUGUGUGCAAUGUCGGUCGAUCUUCUUCAUGGAGAUCGACCAAACAUCAACCUUUAUCUUUUAACUCUUUGUCUGAAAAAUAUUAUGAAUAAAACAAUUCAAAAUA